Molecule: long non-coding RNA, 161 nt
Organism: Lacerta agilis (Sand lizard)
Lineage: Eukaryota; Metazoa; Chordata; Lepidosauria; Squamata; Lacertidae
Exons: 2
Source: RefSeq, a predicted model, not a curated record
GUGGCGAUUUAGGCGAAACAGUCAACUUUGGACAGCACGAGACAGGGCAGGAGACUGAGUGGCUCUGUUCUGAGUCGGUUGUUUCCUGCUGGUGCUUAAGAGAGACAAUUGUUCUCGUUCCUGGAUUGCUGCGUGUCAUCUGAGCCUUCCCUGCUAAUAGG